Molecule: ribosomal RNA, 253 nt
Filed under: uncultured bacterium
Lineage: Bacteria
Description: partial 16S ribosomal RNA
Rfam family: Bacterial small subunit ribosomal RNA
Source: RNAcentral
UACGGAGGGAGCUAGCGUUGUUCGGAAUUACUGGGCGUAAAGCGCACGUAGGCGGCUACUCAAGUCAGAGGUGAAAGCCCAGGGCUCAACCCUGGAACUGCCUUUGAAACUAGGUAGCUAGAAUCUUGGAGAGGUCAGUGGAAUUCCGAGUGUAGAGGUGAAAUUCGUAGAUAUUCGGAAGAACACCAGUGGCGAAGGCGACUGACUGGACAAGUAUUGACGCUGAGGUGCGAAAGCGUGGGGAGCAAACAGG